This 19-nucleotide small RNA is filed under the name Arabidopsis thaliana (thale cress). Its description in RNAcentral is "AGO1_5224". The record is from RNAcentral. Lineage: Eukaryota; Viridiplantae; Streptophyta; Magnoliopsida; Brassicales; Brassicaceae.
GAAAGUGACUACAUCGGGG